Molecule: transfer RNA, 68 nt
Filed under: Xylophaga washingtona
Lineage: Eukaryota; Metazoa; Mollusca; Bivalvia; Myida; Xylophagaidae
Description: tRNA-Leu
Rfam family: tRNA
About the family: Transfer RNA (tRNA) molecules are approximately 80 nucleotides in length. Their secondary structure includes four short double-helical elements and three loops (D, anti-codon, and T loops). Further hydrogen bonds mediate the characteristic L-shaped molecular structure. tRNAs have two regions of fundamental functional importance: the anti-codon, which is responsible for specific mRNA codon recognition, and the 3' end, to which the tRNAs corresponding amino acid is attached (by aminoacyl-tRNA synthetases). tRNAs cope with the degeneracy of the genetic code in two manners: having more than one tRNA (with a specific anti-codon) for a particular amino acid; and 'wobble' base-pairing, i.e. permitting non-standard base-pairing at the 3rd anti-codon position.
Source: RNAcentral
UCUAAAUUAGCAGAAAUAGAAUGCAUUUGGCUUAGGUCCAAAAGGUGUGAGGUUAUCCACAUUUAGAA